Molecule: ribosomal RNA, 253 nt
Filed under: uncultured bacterium
Lineage: Bacteria
Description: partial 16S ribosomal RNA
Rfam family: Bacterial small subunit ribosomal RNA
Source: RNAcentral
UACGUAGGGUGCACGCGUUGUCCGGAAUUAUUGGGCGUAAAGAGCUCGUAGGCGGUUUGUCGCGUCGAAUGUGAAAACCCGGGGCUCAACCCCGGGCCUGCAUUCGAUACGGGCAGACUAGAGUUCGGUAGGGGAGUCUGGAAUUCCUGGUGUAGCGGUGAAAUGCGCAGAUAUCAGGAGGAACACCGGUGGCGAAGGCGGGACUCUGGGCCGAUACUGACGCUGAGGAGCGAAAGCGUGGGGAGCGAACAGG